RNAcentral lists this ribosomal RNA (859 nucleotides) under uncultured Flavobacteriaceae bacterium. RNAcentral's name for it is "bacterial SSU rRNA". It matches the Rfam family "Bacterial small subunit ribosomal RNA", at positions 38 to 887 of the family's 1533-position model. The record is from RNAcentral. Lineage: Bacteria; Pseudomonadati; Bacteroidota; Flavobacteriia; Flavobacteriales; Flavobacteriaceae.
AGCGGCAGGCUUAACACAUGCAAGUCGAGGGGUAACAGAGAGUGCUUGCACUCUGCUGACGACCGGCGCACGGGUGAGUAACGCGUAUGCAACCUACCUUUUACAGGGGAAUAGCCCAGAGAAAUUUGGAUUAAUACCCCAUAUUAUCUUUUUUUCGCAUGAAAUAAGGAUGAAAGUUUCGACGGUAAAAGAUGGGCAUGCGUCCUAUUAGUUUGUUGGUAAGGUAACGGCUUACCAAGACUUCGAUAGGUAGGGGCCCUGAGAGGGGGACCCCCCACACUGGUACUGAGACACGGACCAGACUCCUACGGGAGGCAGCAGUGAGGAAUAUUGGACAAUGGAGGAAACUCUGAUCCAGCCAUGCCGCGUGCAGGAUGAAUGCCCUAUGGGUUGUAAACUGCUUUUGUACAGGAAGAAACAUUUCCACGUGUGGGAACUUGACGGUACUGUAAGAAUAAGGAUCGGCUAACUCCGUGCCAGCAGCCGCGGUAAUACGGAGGAUCCAAGCGUUAUCCGGAAUUAUUGGGUUUAAAGGGUCCGUAGGUGGUUAUUUAAGUCAGAGGUGAAAUCCUGCCGCUUAACGGUAGAACUGCCUUUGAUACUGAUUAACUUGAGUUAUUGUGAAGUAGUUAGAAUAUGUAGUGUAGCGGUGAAAUGCAUAGAUAUUACAUAGAAUACCGAUUGCGAAGGCAGAUUACUAACAAUAUACUGACACUGAGGGACGAAAGCGUGGGUAGCGAACAGGAUUAGAUACCCUGGUAGUCCACGCCGUAAACGAUGGUCACUAGCUGUUUGAUUAACAUUGGUUAAUUAAGUGGCUAAGCGAAAGUGAUAAGUGACCCACCUGGGGAGUACGCUC